Molecule: long non-coding RNA, 1112 nt
Filed under: Salmo salar (Atlantic salmon)
Lineage: Eukaryota; Metazoa; Chordata; Actinopteri; Salmoniformes; Salmonidae
Description: lncRNA (ENSSSAG00000099386.1)
Source: RNAcentral
AUUUUGAAAUGGAAGUAAAAGAGUACACAGUGGUAUUGUUUCUGAUUGUCAUUCUUUUCAGUGGACUCUUUACGGACAUAUUCAGUCUCUUCCUAUCCCAGUCUGCUGUCCCCACUUGCUUCAAGAUAUCCACCAUUGUUCCUGUACCCAAGAAAGCAAAGAUCCACAGAGGAAGCAAUCGCCAUCGAACCGCACUCCUAUCCCAUCUGGACAAGAGGAAUACCCAUGUAAGAAUGCUGUUCAUUGACUAUAGCUCAGCCUUCAACACCAUAGUACCCUCCAAGCUCAUCAUAAAGCUCGAGGGCCUUGGUCUGAACCCCGCCCUGUGCAAUUGGGUCCUGGACUUCCUGACGGGCGUCCCCCAGGUGGUGAAGGUAGGAAACAACACCUCCACUACGCUGAUCCUCAACACAGGGGCCCCACAAGGGUGUGUGCUCAGACCCCUCCUGUACUCCCUGUUCACCAAUGACUGCAUGGCUACGCAGAUGACAACAGUAGUAGGCCUGAUUACCAACAAUUACGAGACAGCCUACAGGGAGGAGGUGUGUGAAAAAUAACCUCUCCCUCAACGUCAACAAAACGAAGGAUCUGAUCAUGGACUUCAGGACACACAUAGGGAGCACGCCCCCAUCCACAUCAACGGGCCGCAGUGGAGAAGGUGAAAAGCUUCAAGUACCUUGGCGUACACGUCACUGACAAUCUGCAAUGGUCCACCCACACAGACAGUGUGGUAAAGAAGGCACAACAGCGCCUCUUCAACCUCAAGAGGCUAAAGAAAUUUGGCUUGGCCCCUUAGACCCCAGAAAUAAUUGAAAGCAUCUUGUCGGGCUGUAUCACCGCCUGGUACGGCAACUGCACCGCCCGCAACCGCAGGGCUCUCCAGAGGGUGGUGCGGUCUGCCCAAUGUAUCAUCGGGGCACACUGCCUGCCCUCCAGGACACCUACAACACCCGAUGUCACAGGAAGGCCAAAACGAUCAUCAAGGACAACAACCACCCGAGCCACUGCCUGUUCACCCCGCUAUCAUCCAGAAGGCGAGGUCAGUACAGGUGCAUCAAAGCUGAGACCGAGAGACAAAAACAGCUUCUAUCUCAAGGCCAUCAGACUGUUAA